RNAcentral lists this ribosomal RNA (303 nucleotides) under uncultured bacterium. RNAcentral describes it as "partial 16S ribosomal RNA". It matches the Rfam family "Bacterial small subunit ribosomal RNA", at positions 507 to 807 of the family's 1533-position model. The record is from RNAcentral.
AGCAGUCGCCGCGGGAAUACGAAGGGUGCAAGCGUUACUCGGAAUUACUGGGCGUAAAGCGUGCGUAGGUGGUGGUUUAAGUCCGUUGUGAAAGCCCUGGGCUCAACCUGGGAAUUGCAGUGGAUACUGGGUCACUAGAGUGUGGUAGAGGAUAGUGGAAUUUCCGGUGUAGCGGUGAAAUGCGUAGAGAUGUGGAGGAAUACCGAUGGCGAAGGCAGCCCCCUGGGCCAAUACUGACGCUCAUGCACGAAAGCGUGGGGAGCAAACAGGAUUAGAUACCCGCGUAGUCCCUGUCUCUUAUAC